GAAAUAGUGAAGCUUUAAACUCCAUCAUCACCGUCGCCGCAACCGAAGGUGAGAUUCUUUUGGCUUGAAUCUUUCUGGAAGUAUUUGGUAGAGAGCAAGAGAGUGAGACGAAGAGAGUUUGAGGACUUGAGAGAUGUCGAGAGAGAGACAUCGAGAGUGAUGGAGAGCAUCGCGAGAAGGAGAAGAGCGAGCUUUGUGAGAGAGACAGAUCCGUUUUUGUUUUUCUUUCUUUAUUUUCUUUUUUCAUUUUUUUAAUUAAAUAGAGUAAUUAAUUUUAAAAAAAAACAUUAUGAAAAAAUUUCCUUUAAUUUUCCUAGGUUAGUUAGUUAAUAAAUGUUUUAGGUUUCCAAUCUAUUCCUCUUGGUAAACCCAACAGCCAUGCGGCUGGGUUUGAUUACUAGUAGACUAACAGUCCUCUUUCUAUUUAGUUUUUUGUUUUAAUCCUUUUUAAUUUAUUUUAGUUUAUAUAUUUAAAUUAGUAUUAAAAUAACAAUUAGUUGGUAAGUGGCCUGGUGGAGAGGAGUGACUUCUAGAUCUUUAGGGUAGUGGGUUCGAUACUCCUAGGUGUAGUUUUUCUUUCUUUUAUUAUAUUUAGGCUUUAUUAUUCAUAUUUAUUUCUUUUUAUUUAUUUAUUGUUG
RNAcentral lists this long non-coding RNA (638 nucleotides) under Lathyrus oleraceus (garden pea). RNAcentral describes it as "Pisum sativum (pea) long non-coding RNA (PSAT_LNC041229)". The record is from RNAcentral. Lineage: Eukaryota; Viridiplantae; Streptophyta; Magnoliopsida; Fabales; Fabaceae.